This 28-nucleotide non-coding RNA is filed under the name Rattus norvegicus (Norway rat). The record is from RNAcentral. Lineage: Eukaryota; Metazoa; Chordata; Mammalia; Rodentia; Muridae.
UGAAGCAAGUAAAGCUAAACCCUCGAAU